CGUAGGUGGCGAGCGUUGUCCGGAAUUAUUGGGCGUAAAGGGCGCGUAGGCGGCUCUUUAAGUCAGAUGUGAAAACCCAGGGCUUAACUCUGGGAGUGCAUUUGAAACUGAAGAGCUCGAGUGCAGGAGAGGUAAGUGGAAUUCCUAGUGUAGCGGUGAAAUGCGUAGAUAUUAGGAGGAACACCAGUGGCGAAGGCGACUUACUGGACUGUAACUGACGCUGAGGCGCGAAAGCGUGGGGAGCAAACAGGAUUAGAUACCCUGGUAGUCCACGCUGUAAACGAUGGAUACUAGGUGUGGGAGGUAUCGACCCCUUCCGUGCCGCAGUUAACGCAAUAAGUAUCCCGCCUGGGGAGUACGGCCGCAAGGUUG
Molecule: ribosomal RNA, 372 nt
Filed under: uncultured organism
Description: bacterial SSU rRNA
Rfam family: Bacterial small subunit ribosomal RNA
Source: RNAcentral